CGUAGGGUGCAAGCGUUAAUCGGAAUUACUGGGCGUAAAGCGUGCGCAGGCGGUUAUGUAAGACAGAUGUGAAAUCCCCGGGCUCAACCUGGGACCUGCAUUUGUGACUGCAUAGCUAGAGUACGGUAGAGGGGGAUGGAAUUCCGCGUGUAGCAGUGAAAUGCGUAGAUAUGCGGAGGAACACCGAUGGCGAAGGCAAUCCCCUGGACCUGUACUGACGCUCAUGCACGAAAGCGUGGGGAGCAAACAGGAUU
RNAcentral lists this ribosomal RNA (254 nucleotides) under uncultured bacterium. RNAcentral's name for it is "partial 16S ribosomal RNA". It matches the Rfam family "Bacterial small subunit ribosomal RNA", at positions 526 to 779 of the family's 1533-position model. The record is from RNAcentral.